UUGUCGCUGUAUUUUUUGUUUAUUGCAGCCAUAAAUGUCAUUCAGUAGGGGUUUUUUUUCAGUAGACUAUAGGCUAUGUUGUGUUUUGACAGCUAGCAGCUAACAUAAAGCAUUAUUUAAAAGCAAAAAGUUGGCGAGAGUGGAGGAAAAUCUUAGCUUUUCACAAAUGGAAACCAAAACACUGAAAUAUGUUUUACGUGUCUUUUAUUUGAAAAUAGUUAGAUGUCAGGUACACUUUUCUAAUAUCACUACAGAAGACGUUCUUUAUAAAGGUCUGUGUUUUGUAAUCCAGUAGGUGGCGGAAAUGUUCCAUCAACUGUUGUGUGUCCCGCCAUAAAAUGUAGAAGAAGAUGAUGCUUGAGCAGCUGAAGAGAUAUCUGCUCAGCAAUCACAUCUUCAGUAUAGCUCCACCUAAAACACAUCACCAAUAAAUUAUGGACAAUGAAGGAGAGUAUCAAAGUAUGCACCAGCAGGUUCACACUGGAGAAAAACCAUACAGUGUUUGUGUCGCGACAAGAUAUGCUCUCGCUCAGGAACCCUGAAAGCGCAUGAGUGGAUUCACACCAAAGAGAAACCAUAUCACUGCACUGAGUGUGGGAAGAGUUUUGGCCAAUCAAAUCAGCUGCUGAGUCAUAAGAAAAAACAUCACCCUGUGUUGUCGCAAUGAGCUUUUUAUCUUCAGAAACCAAUACUUUCUAAGAGAUGUGUGUGUGUUGUAGGGAACACAAGUUUGUGGUCAGUAAUUUGUUGUUGUUGAAAGAAAGCAUAUUAGGAAAUAUUGAUCAGCAAAUCAGCAUAUAUGAAAGGUUUCUGAAAACUAGAGUAAUGAUGCUGAAAAUUCAUCUUUGGUUCACAGGAAUAAAUUACAUUUUACAAUAUAUGCCCAUAGAAAACAGUUGUUUGAAAUUGUAAAAAUAUUUCACAAUAUAACUGUUCAUACUUUAUUUUUAUCAAAUAAAUACUGCCUUUGAGAGCAUAAGAAGCUUCCUUCAAAAACGUUCCUCCACUUUACAGAAUUUACCAUGGUUUAUAAAUAUGCCGUUGAAUUGGGCAUUUCUAAAAUUACUUUUUAAAUAUCUUACAGAAAUAUAUUUAUGUAACUAUACUUCAUUAAUAAUGUGAUGUAACUUGUUUUCUUAAUUUUCUUCAUUUUCUGUCUUUCUACUCUCAAUUUACAUUAUCAAUAUACUCCAGUAGGGUGACCUCAUAAUUUUGCUUCAUCAAAAUCAGUAAUUCAUCGGGUUACUGAAGACAAAAUUGAAGAACAAAGAGGUUGGUGUUUAUUCCUGGUUCUUCAUUAAAUAGGCUGAAAAACAUAAUGGUUUAAAAGCUUUGCAGUUCAUCCAUUUUACUUGUUUAAGAUAGAAAAUAUCAAAAGACUUGUGAAAUAGCAAAUAAUAAGGGACUCUUAACUGUUUAGAUGCAGCAAAGAAAAUCU
Molecule: long non-coding RNA, 1438 nt
Organism: Carassius gibelio (silver crucian carp)
Lineage: Eukaryota; Metazoa; Chordata; Actinopteri; Cypriniformes; Cyprinidae
Exons: 2
Source: RefSeq, a predicted model, not a curated record